Molecule: ribosomal RNA, 301 nt
Filed under: uncultured bacterium
Lineage: Bacteria
Description: partial 16S ribosomal RNA
Rfam family: Bacterial small subunit ribosomal RNA
Source: RNAcentral
CAGCCGCCACGGUAAUACAGAGGGUGCGAGCGUUAAUCGGAAUUACUGGGCGUAAAGCGCGCGUAGGUGGUUCGCCAAGUUGGAUGUGAAAUCCCCGGGCUCAACCUGGGAACUGCAUCCAAAACUGGCGAGCUAGAGUAUGGUAGAGGGUGGUGGAAUUUCCUGUGUAGCGGUGAAAUGCGUAGAUAUAGGAAGGAACAUCAGUGGCGAAGGCGACCACCUGGACUGAUACUGACACUGAGGUGCGAAAGCGUGGGGAGCAAACAGGAUUAGAUACCCGCGUAGUCCCUGUCUCUUAUAC